GUUGCCGCUGCCACACAGCAACUACCGUGCAGAAAGAGUUGAGAAGAGAGUAGCCUCUGAUAUGUAGUCAGCAUGAAUCAGCCUUAGGUUCCCUGCCUCCAUACCCUAUUCUUCUGCCUCAUUAUGAUUCCACUAUGAGGCAUCUAGAGUAGUCAAACUUAUAAAGACAGAAAGUAGAGCUGUGGCUGCCAGGUGGGAGGAAGGAGAGAGAAGGAGUUAUUGCUUAAUGAGUAGGAAAUUUCAGUUUGGGAAGACGAAAAAUGUUCUGAAGAUGGAUGGUGGUGAUGGUCGUGCAACAAUGUGAAUGUACUUGAUGCCACAUAAAAAGUGGCUAACAUAACCACACGGAAGGAGAGAAAACGCCUGAACAGCUCCAACUUUGGCAGCCCAGAUGCCAGACAGUAAAUGAAGACGGGCAUCCCAUUCCCAGUAGAAGUGAUGUGAAGAACCAAAAAAAACCCACAGACAUCCCUAGAUUUACACCUCCAGGUGACCAACCCAGACACCGCCAACAGUUAGCACUACUCCAGUUGAAUACUCCCCAACAAAAAUCUAUCCUUGCUAUGUGUUGCCUGAAUUCAUGACCAACAAAGGUAUGAACGUAAUAAAAUGAUUGUUAUUUUA
RNAcentral lists this long non-coding RNA (624 nucleotides) under Pongo abelii (Sumatran orangutan). RNAcentral's name for it is "lincRNA". The record is from RNAcentral. Lineage: Eukaryota; Metazoa; Chordata; Mammalia; Primates; Hominidae.